GGGUUGUGAGGUUAAGCGACUAAGCGUACACGGUGGAUGCCCUGGCAGUCAGAGGCGAUGAAGGACGUGCUAAUCUGCGAUAAGCGUCGGUAAGGUGAUAUGAACCGUUAUAACCGGCGAUUUCCGAAUGGGGAAACCCAGUGUGAUUCGUCACACUAUCGUUAAGUGAAUACAUAGCUUAACGAAGCGAACCGGGGGAAACUGAAACAUCUAAGUACCCCGAGGAAAAGAAAUCAACCGAGAUUCCCCCAGUAGCGGCGAGCGAACGGGGAGGAGCCCAGAGUCUGAAUCAGCGCGUGUGUUAGUGGAACGGUCUGGAAAGUCCGGCGGUACAGGGUGAUAGCCCCGUACACUAAAAUGCACACGUUGUGAACUCGAAGAGUAGGGCGGGACACGUGGUAUCCUGUCUGAAUAUGGGGGGACCAUCCUCCAAGGCUAAAUACUCCUGACUGACCGAUAGUGAACCAGUACCGUGAGGGAAAGGCGAAAAGAACCCCGGCGAGGGGAGUGAAAAAGAACCUGAAACCGUGUACGUACAAGCAGUGGGAGCCUCUUUUAUGGGGUGACUGCGUACCUUUUGUAUAAUGGGUCAGCGACUUAUAUUCUGUAGCAAGGUUAACCGUAUAGGGGAGCCGCAGGGAAACCGAGUCUUAACUGGGCGUUAAGUUGCAGGGUAUAGACCCGAAACCCGGUGAUCUAGCCAUGGGCAGGUUGAAGGUUGGGUAACACUAACUGGAGGACCGAACCGACUAAUGUUGAAAAAUUAGCGGAUGACUUGUGGCUGGGGGUGAAAGGCCAAUCAAACCGGGAGAUAGCUGGUUCUCCCCGAAAGCUAUUUAGGUAGCGCCUCGUGAACUCAUCUUCGGGGGUAGAGCACUGUUUCGGCUAGGGGGUCAUCCCGACUUACCAACCCGAUGCAAACUACGAAUACCGAAGAAUGUUAUCACGGGAGACACACGGCGGGUGCUAACGUCCGUCGUGAAGAGGGAAACAACCCAGACCGCCAGCUAAGGUCCCAAAGUCAUGGUUAAGUGGGAAACGAUGUGGGAAGGCACAGACAGCCAGGAUGUUGGCUUAGAAGCAGCCAUCAUUUAAAGAAAGCGUAAUAGCUCACUGGUCGAGUCGGCCUGCGCGGAAGAUGUAACGGGGCUAAACCAUGCACCGAAGCUGCGGCAGCGACACUAUGUGUUGUUGGGUAGGGGAGCGUUCUGUAAGCCGUUGAAGGUGGCCUGUGAGGGUUGCUGGAGGUAUCAGAAGUGCGAAUGCUGACAUAAGUAACGAUAAAGCGGGUGAAAAGCCCGCUCGCCGGAAGACCAAGGGUUCCUGUCCAACGUUAAUCGGGGCAGGGUGAGUCGACCCCUAAGGCGAGGCCGAAAGGCGUAGUCGAUGGGAAACAGGUUAAUAUUCCUGUACUCGGUGUUACUGCGAAGGGGGGACGGAGAAGGCUAUGUUAGCCGGGCGACGGUUGUCCCGGUUUAAGCAUGUAGGCGGAAGGUUUAGGUAAAUCCGGACCUUUUUUAACGCUGAGGUGUGAUGACGAGGCACUACGGUGCUGAAGUAACAAAUGCCCUGCUUCCAGGAAAAGCCUCUAAGCAUCAGGUAACAACGAAUCGUACCCCAAACCGACACAGGUGGUCAGGUAGAGAAUACCAAGGCGCUUGAGAGAACUCGGGUGAAGGAACUAGGCAAAAUGGUGCCGUAACUUCGGGAGAAGGCACGCUGAUGGUAGGUGAAGUGACUUGCUCAUGGAGCUGAAAUCAGUCGAAGAUACCAGCUGGCUGCAACUGUUUAUUAAAAACACAGCACUGUGCAAACACGAAAGUGGACGUAUACGGUGUGACGCCUGCCCGGUGCCGGAAGGUUAAUUGAUGGGGUUAUCCGUAAGGAGAAGCUCUUGAUCGAAGCCCCGGUAAACGGCGGCCGUAACUAUAACGGUCCUAAGGUAGCGAAAUUCCUUGUCGGGUAAGUUCCGACCUGCACGAAUGGCGUAAUGAUGGCCAGGCUGUCUCCACCCGAGACUCAGUGAAAUUGAACUCGCUGUGAAGAUGCAGUGUACCCGCGGCAAGACGGAAAGACCCCGUGAACCUUUACUAUAGCUUGACACUGAACAUUGAGCCUUGAUGUGUAGGAUAGGUGGGAGGCUUUGAAGCGUGGACGCCAGUCUGCGUGGAGCCAACCUUGAAAUACCACCCUUUAAUGUUUGAUGUUCUAACGUAGACCCGUGAUCCGGGUUGCGGACAGUGUCUGGUGGGUAGUUUGACUGGGGCGGUCUCCUCCCAAAGAGUAACGGAGGAGCACGAAGGUUAGCUAAUCCUGGUCGGACAUCAGGAGGUUAGUGCAAUGGCAUAAGCUAGCUUGACUGCGAGCGUGACGGCGCGAGCAGGUGCGAAAGCAGGUCAUAGUGAUCCGGUGGUUCUGAAUGGAAGGGCCAUCGCUCAACGGAUAAAAGGUACUCCGGGGAUAACAGGCUGAUACCGCCCAAGAGUUCAUAUCGACGGCGGUGUUUGGCACCUCGAUGUCGGCUCAUCACAUCCUGGGGCUGAAGUAGGUCCCAAGGGUAUGGCUGUUCGCCAUUUAAAGUGGUACGCGAGCUGGGUUUAGAACGUCGUGAGACAGUUCGGUCCCUAUCUGCCGUGGGCGCUGGAGAAUUGAGGGGGGCUGCUCCUAGUACGAGAGGACCGGAGUGGACGCAUCACUGGUGUUCGGGUUGUCAUGCCAAUGGCAUUGCCCGGUAGCUAAAUGCGGAAAAGAUAAGUGCUGAAAGCAUCUAAGCACGAAACUUGCCCCGAGAUGAGUUCUCCCUGACUCCUUGAGAGUCCUGAAGGAACGUUGAAGACGACGACGUUGAUAGGUCGGGUGUGUAAGCGUAGCGAUACGUUGAGCUAACCGAUACUAAUGAACCGUGAGGCUUAACCUUACAACGCCGAAGCUGUU
This 2934-nucleotide ribosomal RNA is filed under the name Klebsiella ornithinolytica. RNAcentral's name for it is "bacterial LSU rRNA". It matches the Rfam family "Bacterial large subunit ribosomal RNA". Lineage: Bacteria; Pseudomonadati; Pseudomonadota; Gammaproteobacteria; Enterobacterales; Enterobacteriaceae. The record is from RNAcentral.